Molecule: non-coding RNA, 1317 nt
Organism: Cyanistes caeruleus (blue tit)
Lineage: Eukaryota; Metazoa; Chordata; Aves; Passeriformes; Paridae
Source: RefSeq, a predicted model, not a curated record
CUAGGGAGCAGGUGCACCAGAGGGAGGCAGCACGGCCAGGACAGCUGACCCAAACUGGCCAAAGGGAUAUUCCACACCACAGAACAUCCUGCCCAGUAAAUAAACUGGGGGGAGCUCCCCCAGAGCACUGAUCACUACUCGCAGAAGUGAGAGGAUUGAGUAAAGACUGCACGGUACUGAGUUGCCAGCUGGGGUUGAACCAUGACACCAGUUUAAAAAGACACAGCUGGAUGCUCUCUGAUGGCUUCUCUGUCAGGAAGGGAUUCUGAUAUCAGAACCAAACUUCUCCUGGGGUGCUCAUAAAUCUACUGCUCAGUCAUUAAUCCAUGCCCCGUCGAUCAGACAGGAAAUGCCACUAUGGCAGGCUCCAGAUCCUGGCACACAGUCUGUGAAGUUCCCAUUUUCUGCAAUUUUUUUUCCCUGAACUCUGCACUCUUCAGAGGAGGCACCUAACCUUCGCAACAGCCUGCAGGGUGUCAGGGUUUCACGAUGAGCAGAGUGUUGUUAGCAGCUGCCUGCACCCAUCCUCUCCACUGUGCCACACAGGCUCAGCACUCUUGCUGACACGACAGUGAGGACCCAGCUGCCCGAGUGGUGUGUGGUAAACUGCACCUUCACACUCCUGCUCGAGUUUCUCCUUCACAGUGCAACCCUCCCAAUCCAACAGUUUGCAUGUACAUGCCCCAGUGCCUGGGGAAGGGGCGGCUGCAAGGCUUGGAAACCGACUUGUGUGAAAAGACUUGUGACAGAAGUGUGCAGAGACACCCAGCAGAGCUGAUACUGCACUUCACACGUUACCUGAGGCUGAUGCAAGCAAAAGUCUGGAUGUGGCUGCCAGGCACCUCCCCCCAUGCCCCUCCACCAUCUAAUCUGGACACAAACAGUGCAGCAGUCGCCAGGCAAUGGGGCCCAGCAUCCCAAACCAGCUCCAGAGACCAUAGGCAGCUCCAGGGCAGGAUGCUGAGACUGUCAGGGUGAAGAGCAACUCCUCCCUCACCCCUCCAGCUACAGCCAAGCAGCUCUGUAUGUGCCAGACGAGAAUCAUUCCCUGUCCUCGACACAGCAGCUCUGGAUAGCCUCAGUGUAGCUGUAUAAACAUUAUUAUUAAUUUAAUCCUAAUGAGUUUUGGCUUCAAUGCCUCAUGGCAGAGACUUCCAUGUACUGAGAAUAGCCAGUUAUUAAAUGAUUCCUAAAGGAGGAAGUACAACAUUUAUGAGGCUGAUACUAACAUUAGAAUUUCCUCCCUUGCAUACUUUGCUACAUUUUUGCCUUCAUUAAAAAAAUGAAAUAAAGACACCAUUUGAAUCAUAACACUGA